RNAcentral lists this ribosomal RNA (492 nucleotides) under uncultured bacterium. RNAcentral describes it as "partial 16S ribosomal RNA". It matches the Rfam family "Bacterial small subunit ribosomal RNA", at positions 29 to 507 of the family's 1533-position model. The record is from RNAcentral.
AGUGAACGCUGGCGGUAGGCCUAACACAUGCAAGUCGAACGGCAGCACAGUAAGAGCUUGCUCUUACGGGUGGCGAGUGGCGGACGGGUGAGGAAUACAUCGGAAUCUACUUUUUCGUGGGGGAUAACGUAGGGAAACUUACGCUAAUACCGCAUACGACCUACGGGUGAAAGCAGGGGAUCUUCGGACCUUGCGCGAUUGAAUGAGCCGAUGUCGGAUUAGCUAGUUGGCGGGGUAAAGGCCCACCAAGGCGACGAUCCGUAGCUGGUCUGAGAGGAUGGUCAGCCACACUGGAACUGAGAGACGGUCCAGCCUCCUACGGGACGCACCAGUCGGGAAUAUGGGAGAAUGGGCGCAAGCUUGAACCAGCCUUACCGCGUGAGUAAAAACGGCCUUCGGGUUCUAAAGCCCUUUUGUUGGGAAAAAAAAGCAGCGGGUUAAUACCCCGCUGUUAUGACGGGACCCAAAGGAUAAGCACCGGCCAACUUCGUG